UGGGAGAAAAAAAGAUUUUUCGGUUUUAGCGAGAAAACACAUUUUUCGGUUCAGUUCUGGCGGGAAAACAAGAUUUUUCGGUUUUGGCGGGAAAAUACAAAUUUUCGGUGGCAAGAAAACAAGUUUUGCGGUUUUGGCCCAAAAACACGUUUUUGACGGAAAAACGCGUUUUUUGCGGUUUUGGAGGGAAACACGUUUUUGCUAUUUUCGCGGGAAAACAAAAUAUUUCAAUUUUGACGAGAAAA
This 245-nucleotide long non-coding RNA is filed under the name Brassica napus (rape). Its description in RNAcentral is "long non-coding RNA (BNAP_LNC004869)". Lineage: Eukaryota; Viridiplantae; Streptophyta; Magnoliopsida; Brassicales; Brassicaceae. The record is from RNAcentral.